UCCCUACGGGGGGCAGCAGUGGGGAAUAUUGCACAAUGGGGGGAACCCUGAUGCAGCGACGCCGCGUGAGUGAAGAAGUAUUUCGGUAUGUAAAGCUCUAUCAGUAGGGAAGAAAAUGACGGUACCUGACUAAGAAGCCCCGGCUAACUACGUGCCAGCAGCCGCGGUAAUACGUAGGGGGCAAGCGUUAUCCGGAUUUACUGGGCGUAAAGGGAGCGUAGACGGCAGAGCAAGUCUGAAGUGAAAGCCCGCGGCCCAACUGCGGGACUGCUUUGGAAACUGUUAAGCUGGAGUGCAGGAGAGGG
RNAcentral lists this ribosomal RNA (305 nucleotides) under uncultured bacterium. Its description in RNAcentral is "bacterial SSU rRNA". It matches the Rfam family "Bacterial small subunit ribosomal RNA", at positions 335 to 658 of the family's 1533-position model. The record is from RNAcentral.